GAAGCUUAGAAGUUCUUAAUGCUCUGUAAUAUAAGUAGCCAUGUUUGAACACGAUGUUCAAACAAGCCGCCAUUGAGCCAAGGAUGGCGAAUUGGCGGCGGUGGCGUAUUGAUAGGUAUGUAAAUCAGAGCAUUUAGAACUUCUUAGUUUCGA
This 153-nucleotide non-coding RNA is filed under the name human gut metagenome. The record is from RNAcentral.